Pelobates cultripes (western spadefoot toad) is the source of this 316-nucleotide non-coding RNA. The record is from the annotation of a GenBank genome assembly. Lineage: Eukaryota; Metazoa; Chordata; Amphibia; Anura; Pelobatidae.
AACAAAUGAAAGGGUUAAACCUGUAGGAUACAUCUGAGCAGUAAUUCGCCUGUCAUAACAAUAUAUGUGCCUGAUUCACAUGGACUGUUUUGGGAUAGACUCCUUACACCAAUAGAAUUCUACUACCUGUUCUUGCACAUUUAAUUUGGAGUUAGACAGUCAUUAACACAUUAAUUACUAUUCUGUUUGUUUACUAUAGCUCCCUCACUCUUCCCCUAUGUUAUCCUUUUCUGUACAUCCCCAAUAACUCCAAAUGUCACAUUCAUUGUAUCUGUGUCUAUUACAUAUUUCUUCCUCUUCCUGUACCAUUUCCUCC